GCCUUCGUGGUGUAGCGGUCAGCACGCUCGACGCGUAACCGAGAGUUCCGUGGUUCGAUUCCCGGCGAAAGCG
RNAcentral lists this transfer RNA (73 nucleotides) under Stegodyphus mimosarum. It matches the Rfam family "tRNA". Rfam says of the family: Transfer RNA (tRNA) molecules are approximately 80 nucleotides in length. Lineage: Eukaryota; Metazoa; Arthropoda; Arachnida; Araneae; Eresidae. The record is from Rfam by way of RNAcentral.